Molecule: long non-coding RNA, 393 nt
Filed under: Theobroma cacao (cacao)
Lineage: Eukaryota; Viridiplantae; Streptophyta; Magnoliopsida; Malvales; Malvaceae
Description: long non-coding RNA (TCAC_LNC002031)
Source: RNAcentral
CGAGACCGGCUUGUCUCGGACUUAGACCUACCCAAUCUCACUUAUUUCCAAGCUGUAAUCAAGGAAACCUUCCGGCUGCAUCCAUCAACACCACUCUCCCUCCCUCGGAUGGCAUCCGAGAGCUGUGAGAUCAAUGGCUACCACAUCCCUAAGGGUGCCACACUGUUGGUCAACGUAUGGGCCAUAGCUCGUGACCCUGACGAGUGGAAGGACCCGUUGGAGUUCCGGCCCGAAAGGUUUUUACCCGGGGGUGAAAGGCCCAACGCUGAUGUCAGGGGAAAUGAUUUUGAGGUUAUACCAUUUGGCGCUGGACGUAGAAUAUGUGCGGGCAUGAGCUUAGGGUUGCGCAUGGUGCAACUAUUAGCGGCUACGUUGGUGCAUGCUUUCGACUGG